This 263-nucleotide ribosomal RNA is filed under the name uncultured bacterium. RNAcentral's name for it is "partial 16S ribosomal RNA". It matches the Rfam family "Bacterial small subunit ribosomal RNA", at positions 793 to 1055 of the family's 1533-position model. The record is from RNAcentral.
GUCCACGCCCUAAACGAUGUCAACUGGUUGUUGGGGAAGCAAUUCCUUAGUGACGAAGCUAACGCGAGAAGUUGACCGCCUGGGGAGUACGGUCGCAAGAUUAAAACUCAAAGGAAUUGACGGGGACCCGCACAAGCGGUGGAUUAUGUGGAUUAAUUCGAUGCAACGCGAAAACCUUACCUACCCUUGACAUGUCCGGAAGUUUCCAGAGAUGGAUUCGUGCCCGAAAGGGAACCGGAACACAGGUGCUGCAUGGCUGUCGU